RNAcentral lists this ribosomal RNA (499 nucleotides) under uncultured bacterium. RNAcentral's name for it is "partial 16S ribosomal RNA". It matches the Rfam family "Bacterial small subunit ribosomal RNA", at positions 29 to 523 of the family's 1533-position model. The record is from RNAcentral.
AUUGAACGCUGGCGGCAUGCCUUACACAUGCAAGUCGAACGCGAAAGGGGGGCAACUCCUGAGUAGAGUGGCGCACGGGUGAGUAAUGCAUCGGAACGUGUCCUGUAGCGGGGGAUAACCUAGCGAAAGCUAGGCUAAUACCGCAUACGUCCUACGGGAGAAAGUGGGGGAUCGUAAGACCUCACACUAUAGGAGCGGCCGAUGACGGAUUAGCCAGUUGGUGGGGUAAAAGCCUACCAAGGCGACGAUCCGGAGCUGGACUGAGAGGAUGAUCAGCCACACUGGGAAGGAGACACGGCCCAGAGUCCUACGGGAAGCAGCAGUGGGGAAUUUUGGACAAUGGGGGAAACCCUGAUCCAGCCAUGCCGCGUGAGUGAAGAAGGCCUUCGGGUUGUAAAGCUCUUUCGGCCGGGACGAAAUCGCACGCGCGAAUAUCGCGUGUGGAUGACGGUACCGGAAGAAGAAGGACCGGCUAACUACGUGCCAGCCGCCGCGGUAA